AAUGUACGAAAGUGCGACGGGGGGAUCCCAAGUGUUAUGCUUUUUUUGUAUAACUUUUCAUUAGUGUAAAAAGCUUUUAGAAUAAGAGCUGGGCAAGACCGGUGCCAGCCGCCGCGGUAACACCGGCAGCUCGAGUGGUAGCUGUUUUUAUUGGGCCUAAAGCGUUCGUAGCCGGUUUGAUAAGUCUUUGGUGAAGGCUUGUAGCUUAACUAUAAGAAUUGCUGGAGAUACUAUUAGACUUGAAGUCGGGAGAGGUUAGAGGUACUACCGGGGUAGGGGUGAAAUCCUAUAAUCCUGGGAGGACCACCUGUGGCGAAGGCGUCUAACUGGAACGAUCUUGACGGUGAGUAACGAAAGCCAGGGGCGCGAACCGGAUUAGAUACCCGGGUAGUCCUGGCCGUAAACGAUGUAGACUUGGUGUUGGAAUGGCUUUGGGUUGUUCCGGUGCCGAAGGGAAGCUGUUAAGUCUACCGCCUGGGAAGUACGGUCGCAAGACUGAAACUUAA
RNAcentral lists this ribosomal RNA (506 nucleotides) under uncultured archaeon. RNAcentral's name for it is "bacterial SSU rRNA". It matches the Rfam family "Archaeal small subunit ribosomal RNA", at positions 354 to 859 of the family's 1478-position model. The record is from RNAcentral.